This is a long non-coding RNA of Beta vulgaris subsp. vulgaris (sugar beet), 2102 nucleotides long. RefSeq lists it as uncharacterized. The transcript is spliced from 6 exons. The record is from RefSeq and is a predicted model, not a curated record. Lineage: Eukaryota; Viridiplantae; Streptophyta; Magnoliopsida; Caryophyllales; Amaranthaceae.
AUUAAUGCUACCCUUAUCCGCGUAUUAAGCGGUAACCACCUAAGUAGUGGAAAGUGGAAACUGAAAUACUGGACGAGUACUGUCAGUGGGAGAAAUUGCAGGAUACAGCGUUAUUAUUAUAUUUUUUUAAAAUUACUCAACAACGAACCGUAAUCUGAUGAGAUCGUAUGCUUAUGGUUCAAUCUACUAAAUACGGGUGACGCAAACUCCAUACUUGAUUGAUUUUCUCUGCAAAUUACUCAAGGUUGAAUUUACAAGUUCUCUGUUCGGUGCAACCCCGGGGAUUCAAACUGAAUUGCGCUACAUACUCGAUUGAUUCAAUCUGCAAUUACUCAAAGUGUAUUCUAACGUCGUCGCCGUUGCAAGACAAGAUCGAUCUGGAUGGACUUUCUUGUACUGAAAUUCUGGGUUAGCUGCAAGUGUAAUCCAGCAAGAAGAAUUUCUAACGUUGUCGGAUCGAUUUGGAUGGACUUUCUUGUACUGAAAUUAUGGGGCUAGCUGAUGCUGCAAGUAUAAUCCAGCUAGAACAAUUUCAAACCCCAGCAGAUGCUAUUGGAAUUAACAAUCAUGUUGCUGCAUCUGAACCUACUUUGGUGUUCCUAGAGUGACAUUGCCUCAUAGGUGUAUCCAUUACAUUUCAAACAAAACAAAUUUGGCUAAAUCUCGACUUCCUAAUUCAGACUCGGGAUGGUCAACCAAUGUGAAAUUUGAUGCAAAGGGGGUGGUUAUAAUCACAGGUAUGAACUCGUAAUUUGUUUUUGCUAAUUGAGGUCUGCAUAUGUGCUCUUAGCAUUGCUUAUGGCUUUUGAUAUGUUCUUAUUCUGUGUGACAAGGUGUGAAAUUAUUAAUAGUAUAUCUAUAUUGUGACGUUAUCAUAGGAUAGAGAUGAACAUUAGCUAAAAGAUCUUGUGAUCUGAUAAUGAUGUCUUGUUUUAGAAGUGCAACUUUCUUUAGGGUAAAGAACUGAUCAUCUCAAUUGUGCAAUUUUCUGCAGCCCAUCUUUCAUCUCUUUACCCUCCUCUUAUUCCAUUAAACUUCUCACUGUACUUUCUAUUGUAGUUUAUGUAACCAGCUCAAUUUAUACCAGUUCUAAGAACUUGUGUUACCAAAAUAGUGUUCUGUGGCUGGUCAGAAUGCAUUGGCCAUGCUGAUAUUGGCUCUCCCAUGUUGAUGCUCUCCAUGCACGAGUUCCACCCACAGUGACUCGUGAACCCUCCCGUUGAUGGGUGUGCUAGCUUUAUUGGAUAAGAAAACUUUGUUGGAAAAGACUACUCUAAUUUUUGUUUGUUUUUGUGCUAGCUUGUGCUUUUAACUAUUGUUUCGAUUCUUUCUAACCAGUAUAGAGCCCGUCUGUGGGACUGGGUAUUGAUAUGUUGCCGGGACUCCCCUCAGGGCCUCAAGAUAGAUGUUUUUCAAUGUAACUGCUAGCUAGUUGAAGGAUGAAGUUAAUAAUCAAGGUUAUUCUUAUCAUGUCAUAUUGAUAACACCCCUCAUGAAAAGGGGCUAUGCUGGGUGAUGUUUGGAGGUAACCCCUGUGCAUUAUUGUAGAUAUCUCAUUAUAGUGAAAACUGAAGUAGAUAACUUAUUGAGAAGAGUGAUACAGUCCUUUCAAGCUUGAAGAGGACUUCUAAAUCAGACCCUUUCCUUACUCUUUCGGUAGUUAUUAAGGCAUUGAUGACUCUCCCUCAUGUCUUUUUUAUAUAGUGCUUUUGCGUGUGUGCGACUUAUCUACCUAGCAGUCUAGCACCUGCCCUUCCAAGUUGGGCAAGUUGUAUACUAUGAGGAAUUUGUAAUCCUAAUUCGGAAAGCUAGGCAAUUUUCUGCAACUUUUCAGAUCGGUGAUCUUUUAGCAUAGCGGGUUCAAGAUGACGGUGAAGGAAAAGAAGCUAAGGAUCCAUCAAAUUAGUCCAACUCAUAAAGCUAUUAAUGAUUUGAAAAGGCCUUGUAAAAGAUGUAUUUCUUUUGUUAUUUUUUUUUUGUAAGGUUUGAAUAAGUUGAUAGUAGACAUUAUCUAAUUGACUUAUUUUCUUUGUGAUGAAACAUAAUAUUUUAGUGUGUAUUUAAUCAUUAACAUUAUUAUGUACUAGUCAUUUCUACCUAAA